RNAcentral lists this long non-coding RNA (576 nucleotides) under Cucumis sativus (cucumber). RNAcentral's name for it is "long non-coding RNA (CSAT_LNC000295)". The record is from RNAcentral. Lineage: Eukaryota; Viridiplantae; Streptophyta; Magnoliopsida; Cucurbitales; Cucurbitaceae.
AAUUUGUCAUACCAUGCCCUUUAUUUGAUUGCUAGCAAAGGCAUCAUCACACAACACACUGCUGGAAAUCCUAUCACUCACACAUCAGAAAAUACUUAUGAAGACAACCACGGUGAUGAUGUUCUAAAUACCCACAUUGAAACCUCAUAAGAAACCAACAACCCUACCCAAGAAACCAUAUCCAUGGCACCAAGAAGGCCAUCACGACCACAUUAUCCACCUUCCUACCUAAAAGACUUCCAUUGCAACCUCACUUCCCAAAGGAAAUCAGCCCUUUAUUUGAUUGCUAGCAAAGGCAUCAUCACACAACACACUGCUGGAAAUCCUAUCACUCACACAUCAGAAAAUACUUAUGAAGACAACCACGGUGAUGAUGUUCUAAAUACCCACAUUGAAACCUCAUAAGAAACCAACAACCCUACCCAAGAAACCAUAUCCAUGGCACCAAGAAGGCCAUCACGACCACAUUAUCCACCUUCCUACCUAAAAGACUUCCAUUGCAACCUCACUUCCCAAAGGAAAUCAGCCUUUUCCCUCACCAAAUACCUCUCAUAUACUGCAUAUACCCAGAACCAC